GAUGAACGCUGACAGAAUGCUUAACACAUGCAAGUCAACUUGAACUUCGGUUUGGGUGGCGGACGGGUGAGUAACGCGUAAAGAACUUGCCUCACAGUUAGGGACAACAUUUGGAAACGAAUGCUAAUACCUGAUAUUAUGAUUUUAGGGCAUCCUAGAAUUAUGAAAGCUAUAUGCGCUGUGAGAGAGCUUUGCGUCCCAUUAGCUAGUUGGAGAGGUAACGGCUCACCAAGGCGAUGAUGGGUAGCCGGCCUGAGAGGGUGAACGGCCACAAGGGGACUGAGACACGGCCCUUACUCCUACGGGAGGCAGCAGGGGGGAAUAUUGGACAAUGGACCAAGAGUCUGAUCCAGCAAUUCUGUGUGCACGAUGAAGUUUUUCGGAAUGUAAAGUGCUUUCAGUUGGGAAGAAAAAAAUGACGGUACCAACAGAAGAAGUGACGGCUAAAUACGUG
RNAcentral lists this ribosomal RNA (454 nucleotides) under uncultured bacterium. RNAcentral describes it as "partial 16S ribosomal RNA". It matches the Rfam family "Bacterial small subunit ribosomal RNA", at positions 28 to 507 of the family's 1533-position model. The record is from RNAcentral.